AUCGUAUCGCCAGAUUCUUGCCAAUACACAGCCCUACGAAAAACCCUUCUUUACUUCUGUGAGAUUUGUUUUUCUUCAAAAAUAUAAAGAAAAAGAACAUUAUGUAUCAAAUAUGAAACAUAGCAUCUUUAAAGUUAUGCUAACCCAAUGUGUCAAUAGGUCUGAAUUGUGUUAACCAGAAAUAUUAAAUAA
Long non-coding RNA from Sander lucioperca (pikeperch), 192 nucleotides. RefSeq lists it as uncharacterized. The transcript has 3 exons. The record is from RefSeq and is a predicted model, not a curated record. Lineage: Eukaryota; Metazoa; Chordata; Actinopteri; Perciformes; Percidae.